AACGGCGAGUGAAGCGGCAAGAGCUCAAAUUUGAAAUCUGGCCUCCCCUGGGGGCCCGAGUUGUAAUUUGCAGAGGAUGCUUCGGGUGCGGCCGCCGUCUAAGUUCCUUGGAACAGGACGUCAGAGAGGGUGAGAAUCCCGUCUUGGGCGGGCGGUCCGCGCCCGUGUGAAGCUCCUUCGACGAGUCGAGUUGUUUGGGAAUGCAGCUCUAAGCGGGUGGUAAAUUUCAUCUAAAGCUAAAUAUUGGCCGGAGACCGAUAGCGCACAAGUAGAGUGAUCGAAAGGUUAAAAGCACCUUGAAAAGGGAGUUAAACAGCACGUGAAAUUGUUGAAAGGGAAGCGCUUGCGGCCAGACUCGGGGGCGGGGUUCAGCGGGUGCUCGUCGCCCGUGUAUUCCUCGUUUCCCGGGCCAGCAUCAGUUUCGACGGCCGGUCAAAGGCCCCCGGAAUGUGUCGUCUCUCGGGACGUCUUAUAGCCGGGGGUGCAAUGCGGCCCGUCGGGACUGAGGAACGCGCUCCGGCUCGGAUGCUGGCGUAAUGGCCGUAAGCGGCCCGUCUUGAAACACGGACCAAGGAGUCUAACAUCCACGCGAGUGUUCGGGUGUCAAACCCGUGCGCGCAGUGAAAGCGAACGGAGGUGGGAGCCUUAGGGCGCACCAUCGACCGAUCCUGAAGUCUUCGGAUGGAUUUGAGUAGGAGCGUGGCCGUUGGGACCCGAAAGAUGGUGAACUAUGCCUGAAUAGGGUGAAGCCAGAGGAAACUCUGGUGGAGGCUCGCAGCGGUUCUGACGUGCAAAUCGAUCGUCAAAUUU
RNAcentral lists this ribosomal RNA (810 nucleotides) under Trichophyton mentagrophytes. RNAcentral describes it as "partial large subunit ribosomal RNA". It matches the Rfam family "Eukaryotic large subunit ribosomal RNA", at positions 85 to 912 of the family's 3401-position model. Lineage: Eukaryota; Fungi; Ascomycota; Eurotiomycetes; Onygenales; Arthrodermataceae. The record is from RNAcentral.